This is a small nuclear RNA of Mesocricetus auratus (golden hamster), 108 nucleotides long. The record is from Ensembl. Lineage: Eukaryota; Metazoa; Chordata; Mammalia; Rodentia; Cricetidae.
GAGAAACAGGGCUCUUGCUCAUACACUAAAAUUGGAAGAAUACAGAGAAGAUUAGCAUGGCCCCCACACAAAGGUGACACACAAAUUCAUGAAGUGUCCCAUAGUUUU